Non-coding RNA from Daucus carota subsp. sativus, 119 nucleotides. The record is from Rfam. NCBI's taxonomy places the organism in Eukaryota, Viridiplantae, Streptophyta, Magnoliopsida, Apiales, Apiaceae.
GGGUGCGAUCAUACCAGCACUAAUGCACCGGAUCCCAUCAGAACUCCGAAGUUAAGCGCGCUUGGGCGAGAGUAGUACUAGGAUGGGUGACCCCUUAGGAAGUCCUCGAGUUGCACCCC